UGGGGAAUCUUGCGCAAUGGGCGAAAGCCUGACGCAGCGACGCCGCGUGAGGGAAGAAGGCUUUCGGGUUGUAAACCUCUUUCAGGAGGGACGAAGCUACUCGGGUGAAUAGCCCAGAGGGUGACGGUACCUCCAGAAGAAGCCUCGGCUAACUACGUGCCAGCAGCCGCGGUAAUACGUAGGGGGCAAGCGUUGUCCGGAUUUAUUGGGCGUAAAGAGCGUGUAGGCGGCCUGGUAGGUCAGCUGUGAAAACUCGAGGCUCAACCGCGAGACGCCCGUUGAAACCAUCAGGCUAGAGUCCGGAAGAGGAGAGUGGAAUUCCAGGUGUAGCGGUGAAAUGCGCAGAUAUCGGGAAGAACACCAGUGGCUAAGGCGGCUAUCUAGUACGGUACUGACGCGGAGACGCGAAAGCGUGGGGAGCGAACAGG
This 428-nucleotide ribosomal RNA is filed under the name bacterium. RNAcentral's name for it is "partial 16S ribosomal RNA". It matches the Rfam family "Bacterial small subunit ribosomal RNA", at positions 355 to 776 of the family's 1533-position model. The record is from RNAcentral.